AGAGCCCUACGGGGCGCAGCAGUGGGGGAUAUUGCACAAUGGGGGGAACCCUGAUGCAGCGACGCCGCGUGGGCGAUGGAGUGCUUCGGCAUGUAAAGCCCUAUCAGCAGGGAAGAAAAUGACGGUACCUGACUAAGAAGCCCCGGCUAAAUACGUGCCAGCAGCCGCGGUAAUACGUAUGGGGCAAGCGUUAUCCGGAUUUACUGGGUGUAAAGGGAGCGCAGACGGCAGUGCAAGUCUGGAGUGAAAGCCCGGGGCUCAACCCCGGGACUGCUUUGGAAACUGCAUAGCUGGAGUGCUGGAGG
This 305-nucleotide ribosomal RNA is filed under the name uncultured bacterium. RNAcentral's name for it is "bacterial SSU rRNA". It matches the Rfam family "Bacterial small subunit ribosomal RNA", at positions 333 to 655 of the family's 1533-position model. The record is from RNAcentral.